AAAUUGAAGAGUUUGAUCAUGGCUCAGAUUGAACGCUGGCGGCAGGCCUAACACAUGCAAGUCGAACGGUAGCACAGAGAGCUUGCUCUCGGGUGACGAGUGGCGGACGGGUGAGUAAUGUCUGGGAAACUGCCUGAUGGAGGGGGAUAACUACUGGAAACGGUAGCUAAUACCGCAUAACGUCGCAAGACCAAAGAGGGGGACCUUCGGGCCUCUUGCCAUCAGAUGUGCCCAGAUGGGAUUAGCUAGUAGGUGGGGUAAUGGCUCACCUAGGCAACGAUCCCUAGCUGGUCUGAGAGGAUGACCAGCCACACUGGAACUGAGACACGGUCCAGACUCCUACGGGAGGCAGCAGUGGGGAAUAUUGCACAAUGGGCGCAAGCCUGAUGCAGCCAUGCCGCGUGUAUGAAGAAGGCCUUCGGGUUGUAAAGUACUUUCAGCGGGGAGGAAGGUGUUGCGGUUAAUAACCGCAGCAAUUGACGUUACCCGCAGAAGAAGCACCGGCUAACUCCGUGCCAGCAGCCGCGGUAAUACGGAGGGUGCAAGCGUUAAUCGGAAUUACUGGGCGUAAAGCGCACGCAGGCGGUCUGUCAAGUCGGAUGUGAAAUCCCCGGGCUCAACCUGGGAACUGCAUUCGAAACUGGCAGGCUAGAGUCUUGUAGAGGGGGGUAGAAUUCCAGGUGUAGCGGUGAAAUGCGUAGAGAUCUGGAGGAAUACCGGUGGCGAAGGCGGCCCCCUGGACAAAGACUGACGCUCAGGUGCGAAAGCGUGGGGAGCAAACAGGAUUAGAUACCCUGGUAGUCCACGCCGUAAACGAUGUCGACUUGGAGGUUGUUCCCUUGAGGAGUGGCUUCCGGAGCUAACGCGUUAAGUCGACCGCCUGGGGAGUACGGCCGCAAGGUUAAAACUCAAAUGAAUUGACGGGGGCCCGCACAAGCGGUGGAGCAUGUGGUUUAAUUCGAUGCAACGCGAAGAACCUUACCUACUCUUGACAUCCAGAGAACUUAGCAGAGAUGCUUUGGUGCCUUCGGGAACUCUGAGACAGGUGCUGCAUGGCUGUCGUCAGCUCGUGUUGUGAAAUGUUGGGUUAAGUCCCGCAACGAGCGCAACCCUUAUCCUUUGUUGCCAGCGGUUAGGCCGGGAACUCAAAGGAGACUGCCAGUGAUAAACUGGAGGAAGGUGGGGAUGACGUCAAGUCAUCAUGGCCCUUACGAGUAGGGCUACACACGUGCUACAAUGGCGCAUACAAAGAGAAGCGACCUCGCGAGAGCAAGCGGACCUCAUAAAGUGCGUCGUAGUCCGGAUUGGAGUCUGCAACUCGACUCCAUGAAGUCGGAAUCGCUAGUAAUCGUAGAUCAGAAUGCUACGGUGAAUACGUUCCCGGGCCUUGUACACACCGCCCGUCACACCAUGGGAGUGGGUUGCAAAAGAAGUAGGUAGCUUAACCUUCGGGAGGGCGCUUACCACUUUGUGAUUCAUGACUGGGGUGAAGUCGUAACAAGGUAACCGUAGGGGAACCUGCGGUUGGAUCACCUCCUUACCUUAAAGAA
This 1550-nucleotide ribosomal RNA is filed under the name Leclercia adecarboxylata. Its description in RNAcentral is "bacterial SSU rRNA". It matches the Rfam family "Bacterial small subunit ribosomal RNA". Lineage: Bacteria; Pseudomonadati; Pseudomonadota; Gammaproteobacteria; Enterobacterales; Enterobacteriaceae. The record is from RNAcentral.